UAGAGAACUCUCAAGGCAGCUGGACUGUCCCCUGUGGGAUGCCCCUGCAUGGUCCUUCCUUAGCAAUGUGAUGUCCUAGUUGCCAUGGAGAGAAAAUGUGGGGUACAGAGUGGAAUACCAGCAAAGAAAAUGAUCUUUCCUGGAAAUGAUACCAACAUUUGUGCCAUACUUCUAGGAGGCAGGAAUGCACCUUCUCACAUACCCAGAGGAAGAGCAGGACCGGUAACCAGUGAACUGAACUCAUGUCUGCCGACAUCUCAGCUCCGUGACUUGAUGAUGGGAGCAGCAGCUCAGGGCUGCCUUCCAGAACUAACUUUAAACAUAACUGAAGAAGAGGAACAGCUCCACAUCUUACCAUUCUUCACAGACAUGGUUUCCAUAGAAUACAGAAGCCAGAGAGGAUGCCAAAAAUCACAGAGAAACUGGGAAGAAAAGUACGUCACUCAACUUUGAGGAAUGAAGCAGAAAUGACAUGGGUUCAUCUUCCUGCACCCUACCAGGGAAUCCAUUGUACCUAUGUUUGCCCCAUAAAAGUGAUGUUGAUUUUGAUCCCUUGAUCAAAGUGGAGCUUCUAGUCUUCUCACAGUUGCAUUCUGGUCUUUGUAAUUUACAAGGAUUUUGUGAGGCCACAUUUUGAGACUCUGUAGUAACCCAUUCCUCAUCAGUAUUUCCAAUUAAUUGAUUAAUAUCAGUGCGAUUUCAUGAAUUAUCAUUUUAUUCAAUGGUUAUUAUCUGCUACUGCCAUCUCUUCAUGUUCGUUUUAUCUAAGAUUUUUGCCAGAGAGAACAGCUUCAGGAUGAUUUCUGUGUCCUUAUGACAAGUCCCUGUCAUUCCUUGAGCCGUUCCUUAUUUUGUGGCAAAUCAGAAGUUCCCAGUUUCUUGGCUACUUUUGCUUUGCCCAUCCUGGAAUCAGUCAUUGGGGCAGGGAGCUGUGGAGGAGCUUGGUUUUCAGAAACCAAGGCAUGGCUGCUACCAAGGACACUACUAAUCUCACUGCCGUCUUGAUAGACAGGGCAAGGGAGUAAGUAUAGGUGAAUACAUACAUGCAUAUAUACAUGUACACACACUUAUAUCUGUCUUUGUUCUUUAUUUGACUAUAUAUACUGAAAAACCAUGAGGUCACUUAGUAUUGCCAAUUCCCACUCAAUGCUACAGUUUUCAUACUAUUGUUAUUCUCUUCCAUUCUUUAAGGUCUUUUCCCAUAUUAGCCCCAUUAUUCUUAGUUUAUUUACUCAUUUCAUAGGCUUGUUCACAUAACCAGUCCCCUAUUGCUGGUCCUCAUCCAUGCUCUCAGACCUAGACAUCUCCCCAAGGCCAAUUCUGAGGGUACCAUCACCCUCUUGCCAUCAUGCAUGUUUCCUUCCAGGAUGCCAGCUCUAAGAUCUCACACUGGGCCACUACAUGCAGGUUACCUGGCCCUUUGCAGUUGGAUUUAUGUGUGCGGGGAGAAAGAGGGAAGAAAGGUAAGAUAAACUGAAAAGAGAUGAGGAGGAGA
Lepus europaeus (European hare) is the source of this 1495-nucleotide long non-coding RNA. RefSeq lists it as uncharacterized. The transcript has 3 exons. NCBI's taxonomy places the organism in Eukaryota, Metazoa, Chordata, Mammalia, Lagomorpha, Leporidae. The record is from RefSeq and is a predicted model, not a curated record.